This 389-nucleotide long non-coding RNA is filed under the name Brassica napus (rape). RNAcentral describes it as "long non-coding RNA (BNAP_LNC024887)". The record is from RNAcentral. Lineage: Eukaryota; Viridiplantae; Streptophyta; Magnoliopsida; Brassicales; Brassicaceae.
UCUGACCGAUAAUUUUAGCAUCGGUGUCACCCUUGCUAACAGCAUCGAGUACAUUACUGUAGAGUUCGGCUCUCAAAACAUCUUGGUUAUUCCUCGUCCAUCUUAGUCGAUCCUCCUCGAUUGUCGUAAAAACGUCCACAGCAUAUUGAUGGAGGAGACGACCGCCUUUAACCAAUGUCAUCCCUUGGUUAAGACGUGUCUGUAUCUGAGCAGCGUAGUAUUGGCGUAUGGUCAGGAAUUGCCUUGUUCUUGAAGUGCCUAUCUCAAGUUGUAAUGGGAUUUCGGGGUGGAAUCCAUACUCACCAUAUGGAAAGAGUAGAGGAUAUUGGAGAAUCAUGUAUAGAGGGUGAUUGUCACGUAUCUGCUGCAAAGUGUCAGAUUGGAAUUGG